Molecule: transfer RNA, 72 nt
Filed under: Gavia stellata (red-throated loon)
Lineage: Eukaryota; Metazoa; Chordata; Aves; Gaviiformes; Gaviidae
Rfam family: tRNA
About the family: Transfer RNA (tRNA) molecules are approximately 80 nucleotides in length. Their secondary structure includes four short double-helical elements and three loops (D, anti-codon, and T loops).
Source: Rfam by way of RNAcentral
GGUCCCAUGGUGUAAUGGUGAGCACUCUGGACUCUGAAUCCAGCGAUCUGAUUUCAAAUCUCAGUGGGACCU